RNAcentral lists this ribosomal RNA (435 nucleotides) under uncultured bacterium. RNAcentral's name for it is "partial 16S ribosomal RNA". It matches the Rfam family "Bacterial small subunit ribosomal RNA", at positions 29 to 507 of the family's 1533-position model. The record is from RNAcentral.
AGCGAACGCUGGCGGCAGGCUUAACACAUGCAAGUCGAACGGGCUUCUUCGGAAGUCAGUGGCAGACGGGUGAGUAACACGUGGGAACGCGCCCUUCGGUUCGGAAUAACUCAGGGAAACUUGAGCUAAUACCGGAUACGCCCUUUUGGGGAAAGGUUUACUGCCGAAGGAUCGGCCCGCGUCUGAUUAGCUUGUUGGUGGGGUAACGGCCUACCAAGGCGACGAUCAGUAGCUGGUCUGAGAGGAUGAUCAGCCACACUGGGACUGAGACACGGCCCAGACUCCUACGGGAGGCAGCAGUGGGGAAUAUUGGACAAUGGGCGCAAGCCUGAUCCAGCCAUGCCGCGUGAGUGAUGAAGGCCUUAGGGUUGUAAAGCUCUUUUGUCCGGGACGAUAAUGACGGUACCGGAAGAAUAAGCCCCGGCUAACUUCGUG